RNAcentral lists this microRNA precursor (65 nucleotides) under Python bivittatus (Burmese python). RNAcentral describes it as "Pbv-Mir-15-P2a_pre stem-loop". It matches the Rfam family "mir-16 microRNA precursor family", at positions 10 to 75 of the family's 82-position model. Rfam says of the family: The hairpin precursors (represented here) are predicted based on base pairing and cross-species conservation -- their extents are not known. In this case the mature sequence is excised from the 5' arm of the hairpin. Lineage: Eukaryota; Metazoa; Chordata; Lepidosauria; Squamata; Pythonidae. The record is from RNAcentral.
UAGCAGCACAUAAAUAUUGGAGUUAUUAUUAGUAAAGUAUCUCCAGUAUCAAUUGUGCUGCUGAA